This 323-nucleotide ribosomal RNA is filed under the name Microbacterium maritypicum. RNAcentral describes it as "bacterial SSU rRNA". It matches the Rfam family "Bacterial small subunit ribosomal RNA", at positions 1118 to 1439 of the family's 1533-position model. The record is from RNAcentral. Lineage: Bacteria; Bacillati; Actinomycetota; Actinomycetes; Micrococcales; Microbacteriaceae.
CCAGCACGUAAUGGUGGGAACUCAUGGGAUACUGCCGGGGUCAACUCGGAGGAAGGUGGGGAUGACGUCAAAUCAUCAUGCCCCUUAUGUCUUGGGCUUCACGCAUGCUACAAUGGCCGGUACAAAGGGCUGCAAUACCGCGAGGUGGAGCGAAUCCCAAAAAGCCGGUCCCAGUUCGGAUUGAGGUCUGCAACUCGACCUCAUGAAGUCGGAGUCGCUAGUAAUCGCAGAUCAGCAACGCUGCGGUGAAUACGUUCCCGGGUCUUGUACACACCGCCCGUCAAGUCAUGAAAGUCGGUAACACCUGAAGCCGGUGGCCUAAC